Long non-coding RNA from Sander lucioperca (pikeperch), 599 nucleotides. RefSeq lists it as uncharacterized. The transcript has 5 exons. The record is from RefSeq and is a predicted model, not a curated record. NCBI's taxonomy places the organism in Eukaryota, Metazoa, Chordata, Actinopteri, Perciformes, Percidae.
AUACAUACAUACACAUACAAAUCAAAUAUAGAUAUAACAUGAUUUAAUGACUUAAACCAUUUCUCUCCCUCGCUUAGAGCCAGCCUGGGACAGAGGCAAUUAAUAGUCAGGCUAUGCGCCUAAUUUUGGAGGGCAGCUCCAGGGCCAGGAGUACUUAUUUCUUAAAAAAAAACAUUCAAAAAAGGAGCCAGUGCCGUCUUCGGGCCCUACUUGCUGGGAGAGUGCCACUGGACCCUCUUUCAUUGCAACUUGAAAGAGGGAACUAUUACCUAAAUUGACUCCUUGGAGAAGCAACCACAGCGUUGCUUCCAAAUUAUCGAAAAUUGGAGCUUAUUUGCUGCUAGCAGAGGCUGCCAAGGGCCGUGGAAGAUGAUUAACAGGGACCAUGACUUACAAAAUGACUCUGUGUCAUGUGGAGUGUUCUCAAUAAUGUUUGCAGAAAUGGUCCUCCAGGGACAGCAAUGGCACCUCCAAUGCCUCCCCAUCUCUCAAGAGCGGGAGAGACUUGGGACUUUGUUGUUUAACUCCCUUGGUAAGUAGUAGGCAUUUGUACGGUAUGGGUGCUCCUUAUUGAGCUCUGCUGGCUACCUGUAGCUGCC